Small nucleolar RNA from Etheostoma spectabile (orangethroat darter), 211 nucleotides. RefSeq annotates it as small nucleolar RNA U3. The transcript has a single exon. The record is from RefSeq and is a predicted model, not a curated record. NCBI's taxonomy places the organism in Eukaryota, Metazoa, Chordata, Actinopteri, Perciformes, Percidae.
AAGCCGAACUUUAAGGAUCUUUCAUAGAGUUUCUGACUGAGGAAUGUGUUCUAAAGUGUUUGGUCUCGCAUGAACCACGAUGAGAUGUUUGAGAUCCUUUUCUGAGCGUGAAGCUAACAGAGAGUAAGGAUUCACGUCAUAUGCUCUCUGUCCAUUGAUGAUUGUUAUUGCUUUCUGUAUGGAGUAUUGAGGAAGGAAUAUGAUCAGAGUG